AAAGGGAAAAAAUAUGUUCCUUCUUUUAGGCACAGUAAGGUUCAGGCUGUUUUGGGGAAGUGAAAAUACAGAUUCUGUAUUACCAGAUCCUCCAAUUGUUCAAAGGAUACAAAAAAAAAUAUCUAGGUCUGUAUGUUAAAUCUCUUGAAUUUUAAAAGUUGGCAGCUAAUUUAACAUAUAAUUGGAACCCUGUUUGGGCUAAACUAAACACUAAACAGCUCUGCAGCCAUAAUUAGCUCCUGGGCUGUCAGUUGGAGAUUUCUGUUCCAUACACUAUGGAAACUGCUGAUGAAGAAAAAGCAACUUAUCCUUGAAUGAAAAAAAAGAGCAAAACAAAAAAAACCACCUCAACAACCAAAAUAGUUUGUUUUCUUAAAACAGUCGGCAGAACUCAUCAGUUCCUUAGAAGUAUAUGUGCAGAAGAGUAGUUACAGAUGCCACUUGGAAGAGAGCUCCCGGAAGCCAUCAGAUCCUCUGGUUCAGAACUGUGUUUUGGGCUUGAUCCUCAUCACCCACUGAAAGUGUAAGCAGCUUUUAGCAAGGAAGAGCUCUCUGCAGGAGGCUCUUCCAGAAUAAAUGACCAGAACUCUUCCCAAGCUUCUCUUCAGUAAUCUUGCGAACAAAUGAUGUGAACAAGGUAGCACCUGAAGAAAGACCUCACAGGAGCUGACGAGCCUGCAUGCAGUGGGAGAGAACUGUGAAAGAAACAAAAUUUGGUGACAUUUGUGAGCUAUCAUGUUCCUAAGACAACAAUCCCAACGGGCAUAAGAGUAAAAGGAAGCUUUCCUGACUGCAAUCUUUUGAAAACCUGUUCUAAAUUAAGAAAGU
Long non-coding RNA from Bubalus bubalis (water buffalo), 828 nucleotides. RefSeq lists it as uncharacterized. The record is from RefSeq and is a predicted model, not a curated record. Lineage: Eukaryota; Metazoa; Chordata; Mammalia; Artiodactyla; Bovidae. The transcript has 3 exons.